CAGCUGGGUUCCUUGGAUCGUCUUCUGGAAUAUUCCUCUCAAUUUUACCGACAAGGUCAGCGCCGACAUCAGCUGCCUUAGUGUAGAUCCCACCACCAACACGGCCAAAGAGAGCCAUGGAAGAUCCACCAAGCCCGUAACCAGUAAUAGCCUCAAAAAGACCUUCCCAGUCAUCUCCGUAAUAGAUCUUGAAGACAUUGAUGGUAAUGUAAAGCACCAACAGACCACUGGCUGCAAGAAGGAAUCCCAUCACAGCACCAGACCUGAACGCAACAAUGAAGGCCUUUCCAACACCUUUCCUUGCUUCCAAGGUGGUUCUAGCAUUGGCGUACGUGGCAAUCUUCAUUCCGAGGAAACCAGAUAGAACAGAGGUAACAGCACCAAGCACGAAAGCAACAGUGCUGAAAGCUGCAGUAGCCAAUGCAGGCUUGCAAGUUCUGGUGGUGUCGUAAGUGCAAGCCUUGUUCUCAGUGCUGAAUCCCUCAACAGAGCCGAGGAAAACAAAGAUAACACCAGCAAAGAAAAUCAUGAAGACACCAACAUACUUGUACUCCGUGAACAAGAAUGAAGUUGCACCU
Molecule: long non-coding RNA, 578 nt
Filed under: Capsella grandiflora
Lineage: Eukaryota; Viridiplantae; Streptophyta; Magnoliopsida; Brassicales; Brassicaceae
Description: long non-coding RNA (CGRA_LNC000724)
Source: RNAcentral